This 564-nucleotide ribosomal RNA is filed under the name uncultured Glomeromycotina. RNAcentral describes it as "SSU rRNA". It matches the Rfam family "Eukaryotic small subunit ribosomal RNA", at positions 548 to 1114 of the family's 1831-position model. The record is from RNAcentral. Lineage: Eukaryota; Fungi; Glomeromycota.
UUGGAGGGCAAGUCUGGUGCCAGCAGCCGCGGUAAUUCCGGCUCCAAUAGCGUAUAUUAAAGUUGUUGCAGUUAAAAAGCUCGUAGUUGAAUUUCGGGAUCAGUUGGUCGGUCGUGCCUCGGUACGUACUGGUCAAAUUGAUUCCUACCUUCUGACGAACCACGAUGUCAUUAAUUUGGUGUCGCGGGAAAUCAGGACUGUUACUUUGAAAAAAUUAGAGUGUUUAAAGCAGGCUCGCGCUUGAAUACAUUAGCAUGGAAUAAUGAAAUAGGACGUUUGAUUCUAUUUUGUUGGUUUCUAGGAUCGACGUAAUGAUUAAUAGGGAUAGUUGGGGGCAUUAGUAUUCAAUUGUCAGAGGUGAAAUUCUUGGAUUUAUUGAAGACUAACUACUGCGAAAGCAUUUGCCAAGGAUGUUUUCAUUAAUCAAGAACGAAAGUUAGGGGAUCGAAGACGAUCAGAUACCGUCGUAGUCUUAACCAUAAACUAUGCCGACUAGGGAUCGGAUGACGUUAAUUUUUUAAUGACUCAUUCGGCGCCUUACGGGAAACCAAAGUGUUUGGGUUC